GAUGAAGAACGUAGCGAAAUGCGAUAACUAAUGUGAAUUGCAGAAUUCAGUGAAUCAUCGAGUCUUUGAACGCACAUUGCGCCCCCUGGUAUUCCGGGGGGCAUGCCUGUCCGAGCGUCAUUGCUGCCCUCAAGCACGGCUUGUGUGUUGGGCCUCCGUCCUCCUCCCGGGGGACGGGCCCGAAAGGCAGCGGCGGCACCGCGUCCGGUCCUCGAGCGUAUGGGGCUUCGUCACCCGCUCUUGUAGGCCCGGCCGGCGCUUGCCGACACAUCAAUCUUUUUUCCAGGUUGACUUCGGAUCAGGUAGGGAUACCCGCUGAACUUAAGCAUAUCAAUAAGCGGAGGA
Molecule: unclassified non-coding RNA, 345 nt
Filed under: soil metagenome
Description: partial contains 5.8S ribosomal RNA, internal transcribed spacer 2, and large subunit ribosomal RNA
Rfam family: 5.8S ribosomal RNA (bases 1-120)
Source: RNAcentral